CCGUGCAGCCGGGGAGAUAGCGGUGCCCUGUACCUGCAAUCCGCUAUAGCAGGGGUGUUGUCUUGCCUAGGGUCUUUUGAUAAGGAGCUGCCCUUUAUAAGUGGCGUUGACAUCCGGGUCUUACGCAACAGGAACUUGUGAACCGUGUCAGGUCAGGAAUGAAGCAGCACUAAGCAAAACUUCUUGUGUGUCGUAAGGGCGCCUGGAUUGAGUUAACUGUAGAGGUAACGUCCAUUGAGAUUGAUUCGAAGCGGGGCGCACGG
Molecule: non-coding RNA, 263 nt
Organism: Roseburia sp. CAG:309
Lineage: Bacteria; Bacillati; Bacillota; Clostridia; Lachnospirales; Lachnospiraceae
Rfam family: Bacterial large signal recognition particle RNA
About the family: The signal recognition particle (SRP) is a universally conserved ribonucleoprotein involved in the co-translational targeting of proteins to membranes. Archaeal SRP consists of a 7S RNA and homologues of the eukaryotic SRP19 and SRP54 proteins.
Source: Rfam